This 253-nucleotide ribosomal RNA is filed under the name uncultured bacterium. RNAcentral describes it as "partial 16S ribosomal RNA". It matches the Rfam family "Bacterial small subunit ribosomal RNA", at positions 524 to 776 of the family's 1533-position model. The record is from RNAcentral.
UACGUAGGGGGCUAGCGUUGUCCGGAAUCAUUGGGCGUAAAGCGCGUGUAGGCGGUCCGGUAAGUCCGCUGUGAAAGUCGGGGGCUCAACCCUCGGAUGCCGGUGGAUACUGUCGGGCUUGAGUACGGAAGAGGCGAGUGGAAUUCCUGGUGUAGCGGUGAAAUGCGCAGAUAUCAGGAGGAACACCAAUUGCGAAGGCAGCUCGCUGGGCCGACACUGACACUGAGAGACGAAAGCUAGGGGAGCAAAUGGG